Molecule: RNA transcript, 3264 nt
Organism: Lepus europaeus (European hare)
Lineage: Eukaryota; Metazoa; Chordata; Mammalia; Lagomorpha; Leporidae
Gene: CCPG1
Gene name: cell cycle progression 1
Exons: 10
Source: RefSeq, a predicted model, not a curated record
CGGCCGCCGCCUCCCGGCUGCGGACGCCCGAGAGCAGGUUGUUGUUUUUAUGAGAGGCGUCACUGGCGCCUGGAGCUGUGACUGCCGCCACCGUGACAGCCAGUGCCGUCUGGCGAAGGUGGCGCUGCCCCUUCAGAUCUGAAAAAUGUCUGAAAAUUCCAGUGACAGUGAUUCAUCUUGUGGUUGGACUGUCAUCAAUCAUGAGGGGUCUGAUGUUGAGAUGGUGAAUUCUGUCACACCCAGUGACAACUGUGAACUCACUCCAGCAUGUUCGUCUUUAGGGCAAGAGGAGCUACAAGUAUUGCAGAUGGGACAACGAGAAGGCAGCCAAAACAGCAUAGUGUUAAUGGAGGAAAGUACUUAUCCAGCUUUGGAAGAAACUAAAUCAGAGAUUGAGGCAGAGGAAGAAAAGUUACCUGAUGACAAUGUCUAUUUUGGAACUGCCAGUGAUGAUUCGGAUAUUGUUACUCUAGAGCCACCUAAGUUAGAAGAAAUUGGAAUUCAAGAAGCUGUAAUUGUUGAAGAAGCACAGAGUCCAGAAGACUUUAAUAUGGGUUCUUCCUCUAGCAGUCAGUAUGCAUUCUGUCAGCCAGAAACUGUAUUUUCGUCUCAGCCUAGUGAUGAUGAGUCGAGUAGUGAUGAAACCAGUAAUCAGCCCAGUCCUGCCUUUAGACGACGCCGAGCAAGGAAGAAAACUGUUUCUACUUCAGAAUCUGAAGAACGGCUCCUUGGUGAACAAGAAACGGAACCUUCUAAGGAGCUGAGUAAACGCCAGUUCAGUAGUGGGCUCAAUAAGUGUGUUAUACUUGCUUUGGUGAUUGCAGUCAGCAUGGGAUUUGGACAUUUCUAUGGCACAAUUCAAAUUCAGAAGCGUCAACAGUUAGUCAGGAAGAUACAUGAAGAUGAAUUGAAUGAUAUGAAGGAUUAUCUUUCCCAGUGUCAACAGGAACAAGAUUCUUUUAUAGAUUAUAAGUCACUGAAAGAAAACCUUGCGAGGUGCUGGACCCACACUGAAGCAGAGAAGAUGUCUUUCGAAACUGAGAAAAAGAACCUUGCUACAGAAAAUCAGUAUUUAAGAAUGUCUCUAGAGAAGGAAGAAAAGGCCUUAUCUUCAUUACAGGAAGAAUUAAGGAAACUAAGAGAACAGAUAAGAAUGUUGGAAGAUGAAGGGGCAAGUACUGAAUUAGUUACAGAAAAUCAGAAACUUAAGGAGAUUUUGGAAGAUGAAAAGCAAAAAACACAGAGCUUUCUGAAACAAAAGGAGACUGUGUUGGCAGAAGCAAAGAUGCUAAAGAGGGAACUGGCAAAAGAACGAAUGAUCAGCAUGGCUUUAAGGGAAGAACUCCAGCAGUUAAGUUCUAGUCAGUCUCAGGACAACUCAGAUUCCCCCAAUGUUCUGACUGAAAAGAAGGAAGUAGCAGUCUUAAGGGAAAGACUCACUGAGCUGGAGCAGAAGUUGAACUUUGAACAGCAGCGUUCUGAUUUGUGGGAAAGACUGUAUGUUGAGGCAAAAGAUCAAACUGGAAAACAAGAAACUGAGGGAAAAAAGAAAGGAAGGGGAAACCACAGGGCUAAAAAUAAGUCAAAGGAGACAUUUUUGGGUUCAGUAAAGGAAACUUUUGAUGCCAUGAAGAAUUCUACCAAGGAGUUUGUGAGGCAUCAUAAAGAAAAAAUUAAGCAGGCAAAAGAAGCUGUGAAAGAAAAUCUGAAAAAGUUCUCAGACUCAGUUAAGUCCACUUUCCGACAUUUUAAAGAUACCACCAAGAAUAUCUUUGAUGAAAAGGGUAAUAAAAGAUUUGGUUCAGCAAAAGAAGCAGCAGCUGAAAAACCAAGAACAGUUUUUAAUGACUAUUUACAUCCACAGUACAAGGCACCUACACCGAAUCAGAAUAGUCGAGGCCCUUCUAUGCGAAGAGAUGGAAGGAAAGAAAAGCCAAUUCACUUUGAAGACUUUAGAAAAAAUACAAAUUCACAGAAAUGCAGUGCCAAUCAUAACUGUAGGGAAAAUCAUUCUUUCAGAAAGGCUUGUUCUAGUGUGUUUGAAUGUGCUCAAGAAGAAUCCAUUAAUGCUUUCAACAUAGUGGCGAAUCCUGUAAGGAUAGAUGAAUUUAGACAGUUAAUUGAAAGGUACUUAAUAAAAGAGCUGGAUGCUUUUCAUCAUUGGAAAGAACUCGAUCAGUUCCUCAAUAAGUUUUUCCUAAAUGGUGUCUUUAUUCAUGAUCAGAAGCUCUUCACUGACUUUGUUAAUGAUGUUAAAGACUAUCUUAAAGACAUGAAGGAAUACCAAGUAGAUAAUGAAGGAGUAUUUGAGAAGCUGGACGGAUAUAUAUAUAGACACUUCUUUGGUCACACUUUUCCCCCUCCAUAUGGACCCAGUCGACCUGAUAAAAAGCAACGUAUGGUAAAUAUUGAAAACUCGAGGCAUCGAAAACAAGAGCAGAAGCACCUUCAACCACAGCCUUAUAAAAGGGAAGGUAAAUGGCAAAAAUACAGUCGAACUAAUGGACGACAUAUGGCAAAUCUUGAAAUAGAAUUGGGGCAAUUACCUUUUGAUCCUAAAUAUUGAAGCAUGGAUGCUUUCUACAGUGGUGUUAAAACUAAGAUGAAAUUAGUGAAGAUGACAAUGUGUCCCCCCCCCACCCCCCAUUUCUAAGUAUCAGUUAAAUGGCUUUAUAUUACUCAUGAGCAUCAGUCAAAAGCUUACUAACCUGCAUUUCCUGUAGUUUAGCUUUGUUGGAUUUUUUUUUUUAAGGGCACUGGAGAUGUUCAGUUGUAGUCUUAUGCAGGAAGCAGGCAUGCAACAGAUUUUGUGCAUGAAAUGAGACUUGCACAGUGUAUUAGCUUAAAGCAAGCUCAAAUCGUACAUGACAAAGUGUAACUGACACUGAUGUUUGUAUUAAGUUUGCAGUAGAGCUUGAAAAAGUACAUUGUGAUGGAAAUUCAUCUUUAACAGUUUAUAAUCUCACACUUGCUUCUUGUCUUUUGUGGGUUCAAGAGCCCGUUGACUUAUGAAGAAUUUGCUGCCCUUUUAUGAGCUUGCUGACUUGUUCUCUUGUGAAAUGUCUUGCACAUCUGAAUAUUGUGGAGGAAACAAUAAAACCACACCAUGAGGAAAACUAAAGACAUAUAUGUGACUUCCAGUUCGACCCUCCGGCAAGUGAGUGUGGAAGAAAACAGCAGUUCUCUCAUAAUUACUUGAAAUUAGGAAAGCACUUAUUUCCUAAAAAUAAAAGUUUAAGUAAAUAAAGGCUGCAUUUUACUGAG